Molecule: ribosomal RNA, 1311 nt
Filed under: uncultured archaeon
Lineage: Archaea
Description: bacterial SSU rRNA
Rfam family: Archaeal small subunit ribosomal RNA
Source: RNAcentral
AGGUUACUGCUAUCGAGGUUCGACUAAGCCAUGCGAGUCGAAUGUAGCAAUACAUGGCGAACUGCUCAGUAACACGUGGACAACCUGCCCUUAGGACGGGGAUAAACCCGGGAAACUGGGUAUAAUACCCGAUAGGUCUCGAUUGCUGGAAUGCAUCGAGAUUUAAAGCUCCGGCGCCUAAGGAUGGGUCUGCGGCCUAUCAGGUAGUAGUGGGUGUAGCGUACCUACUAGUCUACGACGGGUACGGGUUGUGAGAGCAAGAGCCCGGAGAUGGAUUCUGAGACACGAAUCCAGGCCCUACGGGGUGCAGCAGGCGCGAAAACUUUACAAUGCUGGCAACAGCGAUAAGGGAACCUCGAGUGCCAGGUUACAAAUCUGGCUGUCGAGAUGCCUAAAAAGCAUUUCAUAGCAAGGGCCGGGCAAGACCGGUGCCAGCCGCCGCGGUAACACCGGCGGCUCGAGUGGUAACCGUUAUUAUUGGGUCUAAAGGGUCUGUAGCCGGCCGGAUAAGUCUCUUGAGAAAUCUGGCAGCUUAACUGUCAGGCUUUCAGGAGAUACUGUCUGGCUCGAGGCCGGGAGAGGUGAGAGGUACUUCAGGGGUAGGAGUGAAAUCCUGUAAUCCCGGUGGGACUACCUAUGGCGAAGGCAUCUCACCAGAACGGGUCCGACAGUGAGGGACGAAAGCUGGGGGAGCAAACCGCAUUAGAUACCCGGGUAGUCCCAGCUGUAAACUAUGUGCGUUAGGUGUGUCAGUGACCACGUGUCACUGAGGUGCCGAAGGGAAACCGUGAAACGCACCGCCUGGGGAGUACGGUCGCAAGGCUGAAACUUAAAGGAAUUGGCGGGGGAGCACCACAACGGGUGGAGCCUGCGGUUUAAUCGGACUCAACGCCGGGAAUCUCACCGGAUAAGACAGCUGAAUGAUAGUCGGGAUGAAGACUCUACUUGACUAGCUGAGAGGAGGUGCAUGGCCGUCGUCAGUUCGUACUGUGAAGCAUCCUGUUUAGUCAGGCAACGAGCGAGACCCACGCGAGCAGUUGCCAGCUUGACCUUUGGGUUGAUGGGGACACUGCUCGGACCGCCUCUGCUAAAGGGGAGGAAGGACUGGGCAACGGUAGGUCAGCAUGCCCCGAAUUAUCCGGGCUACACGCGGGCUACAAUGGACAGGACAAUGGGUUUCGACACCGAGAGGUGAGGAUAAUCUCCUAAACCUGUCCCAAGUUCGGAUUGCGGGUUGUAACUCACCCGCAUGAAGCUGGAAUCCGUAGUAAUCGCGUUUCAACAUACCGCGGUGAAUAUGUCCCUGCUCCU